AUGGCAGAUUUAUUUCAUGAAAGAUAUGGACACACUAAUUUUACAAAGCUACAGAUUCAAGAAAAACAGAAAGACUUGAAAGCUCAAUACAGACUUCUUAAGGAUGCCCGCAAACAGAGCGGUGUCAGCUGGAACUAUCAUACACACAUGAUAGAUGCUGACGCAUAUCUUUGGCAAAACUUGAUGAGUCCGUGGCCAGAAAUAGCUAAGUUCCAGAAUAAGCCCUUUCCCCUCUACGAUAAGCUUGGUGAUCUGUAUGAUGGACAUAUAGCAGAAGGUAACUUCAAUUUCACAUCAACUGAGGUUACAGAAGUGAGUGAUGGUGAUCUCGAAGUUGAAAGAGAGAAGACUGCCUUCUCUUUUGACCUGAAUCAAUACGGUGAUGAUUUACACAUGUAUGAUGAUCCAAGAGAUGCCGCCCCAAGUGAUGGUCCAAGUGAUGCUGCCCCAAGUGAUGGUCCCAGAGAUGCUGCCCCAAGUGAUGGUUCAAGAGAUGCUACACAAAGAGGUGGUGUUGCUACUUCAAAUAACAAGCAUGUGAAGGAAUCAAAGAAGGGUAAGAAGCGUGAUGAUCCUAUGGUGGAAGUGAUGUCACAAUAUGUGGAGGUCAAACGGAAGCAAGUGGAGGAGGAGUCUGCUCUAUUGGCCGGGGCAAAAAAUGCCCAAGAAUUCUCCAUCAGCAAGUGCAUUGUUGUUUUGCACAAGAUGGAAAGUAUCCACCGCGAUGAAAGAGCCACUGCCUACAAAGUGUUCAAAAGUGUUGAGAACCGUGAGAUCUUUCUUAAUUCUGCCGCUGAAGAUGAAGAAAGUGCUGCAGUGUUUCUUCGGAGCGAAAUGGCAGAGUUGACUCAACGUAUCUAA
RNAcentral lists this ribosomal RNA (861 nucleotides) under Triticum aestivum (bread wheat). RNAcentral's name for it is "partial small subunit ribosomal RNA". The record is from RNAcentral. Lineage: Eukaryota; Viridiplantae; Streptophyta; Magnoliopsida; Poales; Poaceae.